RNAcentral lists this unclassified non-coding RNA (378 nucleotides) under plant metagenome. RNAcentral describes it as "partial contains 5.8S ribosomal RNA, internal transcribed spacer 2, and large subunit ribosomal RNA". The stretch from base 1 to 105 matches the Rfam family "5.8S ribosomal RNA", at positions 50 to 154 of the family's 154-position model. The record is from RNAcentral.
GAAAUGCGAUAAGUAAUGUGAAUUGAAGAAUUCAGUGAAUCAUCGAAUCUUUGAACGAACCUUGCGCUCCUUGGUAUUCCUUGGAGCAUGCCUGUUUGAGUAUCAUGAAAUCUUCAAAGUAAAUCUUUUGUUAACUCAAUUGGUUUCUACUUUGGUAUUGGAGGUCUUUGCAGCUUCACACCUGCUCCUCUUUGUUCAUUAGCUGGAUCUCAGUGUUAUGCUUGGUUCCACUCGGCGUGAUAAGUUAUCUAUCGCUGAGGACACUGUAAAAGGUGGCCAAGGUAAAUGCAGAUGAACCGCUUCUAAUAGUCCAUUGACUUGGACAAUACUUUUAUGAUCUGAUCUCAAAUCAGGUAGGACUACCCGCUGAACUUAAGC